AGUAUUGUGGCUGAAAAUAUAAGCGAUAAAUUGUAAAUUUAUUUAUAAAGUAAUCUUUCAAUACUA
This 66-nucleotide transfer RNA is filed under the name Megacampsomeris sp. 1 YJY-2023a. RNAcentral's name for it is "tRNA-Tyr". Lineage: Eukaryota; Metazoa; Arthropoda; Insecta; Hymenoptera; Scoliidae. The record is from RNAcentral.